GGGACCGAACUGGUCAUUUUUUGAUCGACUCAUAAUCGGCAGGUCCCAGGUUCAAGUCCUGGUGGGCCCACCA
This 73-nucleotide transfer RNA is filed under the name Pseudomonadales bacterium. RNAcentral's name for it is "tRNA-Leu". Lineage: Bacteria; Pseudomonadati; Pseudomonadota; Gammaproteobacteria; Pseudomonadales. The record is from RNAcentral. RNAcentral also lists the same sequence under 1 other name.